GACGAACGCUGGCGGCGUGCUUAACACAUGCAAGUCGAACGGUGAAGCGCCUUCCUUUUUGGUGGGUGUGGAUGAGUGGCGAACGGGUGAGUAACACGUGAGUAACCUGCCCCCUUCUUCUGGAUAACCGCAUGAAAGUGUGGCUAAUACGGGAUAUUCUGGGUCUGUCGCAUGAUGGGUCUGGGAAAGAUAUUGUUUCGGUGGGGGAUGGGCUCGCGGCCUAUCAGCUUGUUGGUGGGGUGAUGGCCUACCAAGGCGGUGACGGGUAGCCGGCCUGAGAGGGUGGACGGUCACACUGGGACUGAGACACGGCCCAGACUCCUACGGGAGGCAGCAGUGGGGAUUAUUGCACAAUGGGCGCAAGCCUGAUGCAGCGACGCCGCGUGAGGGAUGGAGGCCUUCGGGUUGUGAACCUCUUUCGCCAGUGAAGCAGGCCUGCCUCGUUUGUGGGUGGGUUGACGGUAGCUGGAUAAGAAGCGCCGGCUAACUACGUG
Molecule: ribosomal RNA, 494 nt
Filed under: uncultured bacterium
Lineage: Bacteria
Description: partial 16S ribosomal RNA
Rfam family: Bacterial small subunit ribosomal RNA
Source: RNAcentral